RNAcentral lists this ribosomal RNA (261 nucleotides) under uncultured archaeon. Its description in RNAcentral is "partial 16S ribosomal RNA". It matches the Rfam family "Archaeal small subunit ribosomal RNA", at positions 748 to 1009 of the family's 1478-position model. The record is from RNAcentral.
CAGCCGUAAACUAUGCUCGCUAGGUGUCAGGCAUGGCGCGACCGUGUCUGGUGCCGCAGGGAAGCCGUGAAGCGAGCCACCUGGGAAGUACGGCCGCAAGGCUGAAACUUAAAGGAAUAGGCGGGGGAGCACAACAACGGGUGGAGCCUGCGGUUUAAUUGGACUCAACGCCGGACAACUCACCGGGGACGACAGCAAUAUGUAGGCCAGGCUGAAGACCUUGCCUGAAUCGCUGAGAGGAGGUGCAUGGCGUAGACGUCU